Molecule: ribosomal RNA, 245 nt
Filed under: uncultured bacterium
Lineage: Bacteria
Description: partial 16S ribosomal RNA
Rfam family: Bacterial small subunit ribosomal RNA
Source: RNAcentral
UACGAAGGGUGCAAACGUUUGCUCGGAAUUAUUGGGCGUAAAGCGCACGUAGGCGGUUCGUUAAGUCGGAUGUGAAAGCCCUCGGCUCAACUGAGGAAGUGCACCCGAAACUGGCGAGCUUGAGUACGAAAGAGGAUCGCGGAAUUCCCGGUGUAGAGGUGAAAUUCGUAGAUAUCGGGAGGAACACCGGUGGCGAAGGCGGCGAUCUGGGUCGAUACUGACGCUGAGGUGCGAAAAGCGUGGGG